CCAAAUCUGUAUCGACCCGGAUCCAUUAAAGUUGCCGGAUCGGUUGGGUACUUCGGUUGAAGCGUAUAGUUUGCAUGAAUCUUGACUUAUUCCGUCGGAAUUUCAGCCCUAAAAAGCUAGAAAAUCGAAUCCGUUCGGUCCUGUUCUUAAUUUGUUAUGAGUGAGCAAAAAAUUCUGGAUACGGAGACCUGUUUUACAGGUACGCAAGAGGUGACUGAUUUUUCUCAAAUACUUUUGAAAUGUUUGUGGAGUGCAGUUUAGGGUUUAGGCGUCACUUUUAGGGAUUUUCUUAGAUAAUCGAAUAGGGAGUGUUGGGUUUGUUCUUACUCUUUGAUACUUGAAGGAUGGGUGAUGUUUUGAAUGCAUUUGUUUUAUGUUUUAAUUGCUCGAUUCCUAGUUCUAUUUCAUUCAUUUUUUUAGUGAACGAAGGUCGUUUUCGUUCAUAAAUUUUUUUUUUGGAUGAAGGUUAUACAAAAAUAUAAUGAUAGUUCUAAUGUGGAGAAGAACCCUUCAAAUCUCAAUGAAAAUGAAGAAGAUAAGAAAAUGGGAAGUGAUACUAUACUGAGUAAAGGUGAAGACGACGAAGAUUCCAAUGAAGACGAAGAAGAAGGAGAGUGUGGAUUCUGUGUUUUCAUGAAGGGAGGGGGUUGCAAAGAUUCAUUCAUUGCAUGGGAAAAGUGUGUGUAAGAAGCAGAAAAAAACAAGGAAGAUAUUGUGGAGAAAUGCUUUGAGGUGACAGGAAUCCUUAAGAAAUGCAUGGAUGAACAUGCUAGCUACUAUGAACCCAUCACACGAGCUGAGAAAGCCAUGGAGGAGGAAGCCCAAAGAGAACAUGAUGAGCAAUCCAAAUCUUGGGGUACACCGAUUCGAGUUGAAGAUGACAAAGGUCGAGAAGCUUCAACUGAUCCAUCUCCUGUUACAAAGAAUAUAGAGAAUUAACCAUGUAUGUGGAAAAUAAGUUUUUUUACUUUCUUCCAUUCCAGAUUUUUUAGACAGCUGAGAAAAACUCCCAUUUACAAGAUUUUUGAUUCCUUGGUAGUUAUCCAAGAAAUCCUGGUUUGCCUUUUGCUAGAUAAUUCAACUUUUUUAAUUGAAGCCUAUUUGAAAUCAUUUUAAAUAUUAAGUUCCAAAAUCCAAACCAAUCGAACCAUUUUUAAUUUGAAUCAAAAUGUGGAUAUCUGGAGGGACUAGGGAGGUAUAGUAAACCUUCUGUCUGCCUUUGAUUUCUCCAGAGUCCGAGUCGAUAAUAAAUUGUAACAAUUGUGAGAAACUGAAACCUUCCUCCGCUUGUAUACAAGCCCUACAUUGGGUCAUUGAAGUUUCGUGAUACAUAUUUUUGUUUCUAUGAUAAAUAAUGCUACAAUUUUCAUGAUUCAUAAGUCAUUGAAGUUUCAUAGCUAUCAAUUCCUGCUUAUGUAUUGUCAUUUUCUUAUUUCUUGAAUCAGUCUGUCCAUUGAAGAACAUGAUCUUAUAAUCUCCACAAGUCCACAACUGUUCUAAGAAAACUUUCUGAAAAUUGGUAUGCUUAAGAUUGUAGUUUUAGGGAGAAGAAUGAUGAUUUAUAAAGAUUAACUCUCUGGCUUAUAUUACAAGAUUCCAGUCCUUUUAAUAAGGAGAGAUUUUGGAAAUCCAAAUAAUCUAAUAAGUAAUAACUAAUAACCUAUAUCAUUGGAAAUCAUUUUAAUUAUUGAAAGUAUGAUAUUUCAAGUGUAUGGACUAUGGAGAAUGUUAAAUACUUAAGUUAGUCAUUUCUCAAUGUUGUGCAAGAUUUUUUUUUUGAAUUAAUCAAUGUUGUGCAAGAUGUGUACUGUUUUAGUCAUUCAUUUUUUAUAAGAAGUAUUUAUAAUAAAUUUUCGCUUAGAAAAAAAUAUAAAGAUCAAAAACCCAAUUCAGAUUGCAAGCUAUCUUCUUUGUAUAUUUUUCUUUCUAGAUGUUAUCAUACUAUAUUAUUCUUUGCAUCAUUUUUCAAUUUCCAUGUGAACUUAUUCGUCAUUUUAUUCUUUUUAGAAAUUAGUUUUGAGAUUUAUGUAUGAACAGUUGUAGACACUAUCGAACUUAGCUUUGUAGAAACAUCAUUUAGCUUAGGCAUUAGCAUUUUGAUUUAUUCAGCUGAAUAUUACGUAUAUAUCCUUUCUCUUCAAACAUGAGUCGUCAUUAAUGAAUGUACCAAAUGUCAUAUCUGACUAUAAUAGAAUCAAGUGAUUUAAAUGCUGAAUUAUGGUUCAAAAUGAUGUCAUUUAUGACCUAGCUACAACUUACAACAUCAUGCAGAUCAAUAUUCUUGGUUCAAUUGGAUAUUACAUUUGUUUUCAUCAGGUUGUAAUGGUUUAUACUUUUAUUAUAUUGCACUGAUGGUAAGUGAUCACUUGGAAAGUUUUCACAUGCUAAGAAUAUAUUUAGUUGCCUUGCAUGUUGAGUUGAAUUUUUUUGUAAGUUUUAGUUCAUUUUUUGAUGAAAAAGUUCAGUUCUUUAGAAUUCUUUGAAUAACCUAACUUAUUUUCUUCUACAGAAUUCAGAAUGAUUGAUGGUGUAAAGUAUGACAUAUUCUAAGUUCAUACUCUAAUCAGCAGAGAGUACGUAUUCUUAAUACAUUUAUAGUGUUAUCAACUACUAACUAGUAAGAAUAUUGGACUUGUGAUCAUUCUAAGUUGACACUACUCUGAUCUUUUCUCUCUCUAUUAUUGCAUAUUACAUUCGAGUGGUUCUACUUUUAAACAUGGAUGCAGAGUUUUAAAGUUUUUAACUAUUAAAGAGUUGAUGCUUUUGAGAUUUUAGUGCAUGUAUCCUUUUUUUUCAUUGAUGCUUGGAUAUUCUAGGGUUAAUGGAUUCAUGGAAAUAUUUAAGGGGGAUGGGAUACUUACUCCAAGAAUAUGCUGAUUUAAUUCAUUUUAUUGUUACUAAUCUAAAAUCUUGUUGCAUGUUAAAGAAUAUAAACUCGAGUUCAUACUUCAAUACUUCAUACAUGCUAGUAUACUGUUUCUAUUCUAUUUUCAGAAUAUGUGCACAAUUUGACAUCAAUAAAAAAGUUCGGUCACACCAGUAUCUUUUAAUAGUUAAUACACAGUGGGUUUUCUGCAGUCAUUCUUACAAUUAAAAAAUUUCUAAGACCAUAAUAUUAUGGAAAUCAAAAUAUAAAUUUACCUACAAAGCUGGCAUGUGGCUAUGAUCAUCCUAUAUUCUUCAAUUUAUUUUUUGCAAAUGAUAUCAAGAAUAUAACUGAGAAUUUUUUAAUUGUUAUCAUGAAUUUGAAAUACUGAAACGGAUCCAAUUUGGAAUCUAUUUAAUUCCAGAUUGAAUCAUUCAGCAAAAAUUUAUAUUGUUUUCCUGUUGGAAGACAAUCUGUCAGGUACUCAGGGCUAUGCAAUUAGUAUUAUACUUGUUGGUUGAUGAGGGUGUCUUCUUCUCAUUCUCACUCAAGUCUAAUACAGAUGAGAUGGUAUCAUUAUUGGCCAUAUACAAAAGCUAAAGAUUGAAGGGAAAUGGUAGGUUAUUUUUUCUGUUGAUUUUGGGUUAAAAUGACAACCAAGUAUGAUUUGCUUUUGUUUCCUAGAUAGUUCGAUCAUUCUAUUGAAAUUGCUUUCAUAUUUAUAUUGCUGUCAUUUAAUUAAAUUUUUGUGUGUUUUCAGCCAUUUCACUAUUUCAGGUGUAUCUAUUAUUCCUAAAUUUCUUUAAAUGCAUCAGUACUCAGUAGCAACAGCCAACAGGUAAAGUAGAUCUUUACAAAUCCAUUUUGAUUUCAAUAAUGAGAAUAUCCAUAUUUCUAAACUGGUACAGGUGUUGCUUCAAUUGGUAAACCAAUCAACUUUGGUAAGUGUAUUUACGUAUUAGUACAACUACUUUACACAACAAAUACUGGUCUCCUUUCAUUUUUUGUUUAAUUUGAUUUGUGUUUUUUUAAUCUACAGACUGCAGAUGAUUAUUCCAUCUUAGUUUCAUGAUGAGCAUACCACCCAUUUAUUAUCCGUCAAGUGGGAAGCAACGGAAUUAGAAUCGCAUGCCUUAUUGUUCUAAUUGAACACCUCAUGGAUCUCAUUUCAUUUCUUCAACAAUAAGCUAUAAGGAAUAUUCUUUGAUAAACCAAUCAGCAUUCAGCACAUUCAUAAUAAUAAUUUUAGAUCCUUAAUAAAUUAAUUUAAUUUCAUACAGAAAAUAUACUCUGUUACAUUAUUUACAUAGGAAUAGGAUUAUAGGGUGGUGUUUAAUAAUUAAUUAAUAAAAGAUAAAAGAGGUUUAAACUUUUAAACUUAGCCUGCCAUUGAGCGAGGAUCAAAUCAGCC
Molecule: long non-coding RNA, 4277 nt
Filed under: Zostera marina
Lineage: Eukaryota; Viridiplantae; Streptophyta; Magnoliopsida; Alismatales; Zosteraceae
Description: long non-coding RNA (ZMAR_LNC002950)
Source: RNAcentral